Molecule: ribosomal RNA, 492 nt
Filed under: uncultured bacterium
Lineage: Bacteria
Description: partial 16S ribosomal RNA
Rfam family: Bacterial small subunit ribosomal RNA
Source: RNAcentral
AGUGAACGCUGGCGGUAUGCCUAACACAUGCAAGUCGAACGGCAGCACAGUAAGAUCGUGCUCUUACUGUUGGCGAGUGGCGGACGGGUGAGGAGUACAUCGGAAUCUACUUUUUCUUGGGGGAUAACGUAGGGAAACCGACGCUAAUACAGCAUACUUCGUACGGGUUAGAUCAAGGGAGCUUCGGGGUUUUCGCGUUUCAAUUAGCCGAUUCCGGAUUAGCUAGUUGGGGUGGUAAAGGCCCACCAAGGCAACGAUCCGUAGCCGGUCUGAGAGGAUGAUCAGCCACACUGGAACUGAGACACGGUCCAGACUCCUACGGGAGGCAGCAGUGGGGAAUAUUCCGCAAUGGGCGAAAGCCUGACCCAGCAAUGCCGCGUGGGUGAAGAAGGCCUUCGGAUCGUAAAGCCCUUUUAUUGGGAAAGAAAAGAAGUAGGUUAAACCCCCGAUGUCUUGACGGUACCCAAAGAGUAAGCACCGGCUAACUUCGUG